GAUGAAGAACGUAGCGAAAUGCGAUAAGUAAUGCGAAUUGCAGAAUUCCGUGAGUCAUCGAAUCUUUGAACGCACAUUGCGCCCUCUGGUAUUCCGGAGGGCAUGCCUGUCUGAGCGUCAUUGUCAACCCUCAAGCUCAGCUUGCUGUUGGGUCCCCGUCGUUGCUUUAACGGCGGACCCGAAAGGUAAUGGCAGAGUCCGUGAGACCCUAGACGCAGCGAGAUUCUAGCACGCGUCUGGACGUUUUUCGGGCUCGGUCUUAACUAGAUGAUAACUUCCGAUUGACCUCAGAUCAGGUAGGGAUACCCGCUGAACUUAAGCAUAUCAAUAAGCGGAGGA
RNAcentral lists this unclassified non-coding RNA (339 nucleotides) under soil metagenome. RNAcentral describes it as "partial contains 5.8S ribosomal RNA, internal transcribed spacer 2, and large subunit ribosomal RNA". The stretch from base 1 to 120 matches the Rfam family "5.8S ribosomal RNA", at positions 35 to 154 of the family's 154-position model. The record is from RNAcentral.